This 93-nucleotide transfer RNA is filed under the name Candidatus Doudnaibacteriota bacterium. Its description in RNAcentral is "Candidatus Doudnabacteria bacterium tRNA-Ser". It matches the Rfam family "tRNA". From Rfam's summary of the family: Transfer RNA (tRNA) molecules are approximately 80 nucleotides in length. Their secondary structure includes four short double-helical elements and three loops (D, anti-codon, and T loops). Further hydrogen bonds mediate the characteristic L-shaped molecular structure. tRNAs have two regions of fundamental functional importance: the anti-codon, which is responsible for specific mRNA codon recognition, and the 3' end, to which the tRNAs corresponding amino acid is attached (by aminoacyl-tRNA synthetases). tRNAs cope with the degeneracy of the genetic code in two manners: having more than one tRNA (with a specific anti-codon) for a particular amino acid; and 'wobble' base-pairing, i.e. permitting non-standard base-pairing at the 3rd anti-codon position. Lineage: Bacteria; Candidatus Doudnaibacteriota. The record is from RNAcentral.
GGAGAGAUGGCUGAGUGGUCGAAAGCGGCUCCGUGCUAAGGAGUUGUCCCGUCAAAAACGGGACCGUGGGUUCGAAUCCCACUCUCUCCGCCA